GAUUCUGAUCGAUGAGAUCAACAAGCGCGUCUCGCCGCAUCUUCCAGGAAGGCGUUUCGCGAACUAUCGACGCCGCCGCCGCCACCACCGCCGCUGUCAGAAAGGCACGAAUAGACCAGGGUCAACCAGGGUCGGUGUAUGAUGAAUAUAUUCCUCCUUCUCCGGGUGAAAUCUUCGAUAUUGCUCCACACUAGCGACUCUGACGUACUCGGAUAGUGUCGUUGUACGACACGGUGAUUCAUGGCGAAUUCCUCGUAUACGCGCGUCUUCCGACGAGGGACUUCCCUGAAUGGUCCCGGCCCGUGUGCGCACUCACACGAACCGUUCGGAUCGCGGGGCCCCUGCGGCCUAUCUGAUAUGCAUGUAUUGCAGCAAUGCGUGCCGCGCGACAUAAUCGCGCGGCAUCGCGACGCAUCGAGAAUGCAGGCUGAUGGAGCGAGGAGAGAACGAGGCAGAGGCCGUGUGGAAGAGAGAAAAAUGAGCGAGGGAUCAAGGGAGAUGAGACGAGGGCCCUGCCGUGACGACGAGGCAAGGGAAGCAGAAAUCUUCCCGCGCCGGCUGACGUUCGCGACAAGGUACGACGUGCGAUGACGGGGAGGGAAGGUGAAACCGCAAAAGAAGCAAAGUGGCAACUGAGAAAGGAGCCGCGGCUUUCAUUUGGCGAGCCGGACCGGACGGGUACACGCCGGCAUCAAACGGAGCACGUACAGUGUCUCGUACGACAGGUUAGGUUAGAGCGGAGCGUCGUACCGCGGAAAUACGAUUCGAUAAGGCGGCAGAAAUGUAUUCUGCGCAGAGUCCGCUAAUUUCGUCGUGGGAUAAUUCCAUUACCUCCCCUCAAUGGCGGAAAGGCUGACCUUCGGUUUACCAGUACAGCAGCGAAAGAGACUCCAUAUACAAUGUUUGUGACUGUACGGUGGAUGCGGCUCUCGCAGGGGUGCGGAUUCGGUGGACGCGGAUGCCGUACCGGAGAAGCCGGUUCGGGCCGAGCAGGGUCGGUUCGAAGGCAUGUAGCGGAACGUGGCCGGCCCUGAGUUCCUGGUAUUUCGGUGAGUCAGAAAAAUGAGUAUAAAGAUUUAAGGUGAUGCGUUAUAGCUAGGUGUCCG
Long non-coding RNA from Odontomachus brunneus, 1106 nucleotides. RefSeq lists it as uncharacterized. The record is from RefSeq and is a predicted model, not a curated record. Lineage: Eukaryota; Metazoa; Arthropoda; Insecta; Hymenoptera; Formicidae. The transcript is spliced from 5 exons.